UGGGGGUGUGUGUGUAGAGAAGAAAAAUCCUCUUUUUUUUUCUUUCUCUCUCUCUCUACUCUCCCGGCCGACUCUCUCUCACCUCGCCUCCAAAGUUCUCUCUUUGAUUUCAUCUCCAUAGAAAGAGAUUUUGAAAAAAUCCCAAGUAUUAAAGUUGUUCUAUGCGACGAAAGCUUCCUAUCCAUCCAAGAAAAUUCAUGAUCGGAGCACUUCGAAGUUUCCUCCAUGUUCGGGCUUGCUUCUAACCUUCGAGGUACUCGCCAUGACACUUAGCUUGGAUUGCAUGGAGUGCACAUUGAGACGUCUCUUGAGAGCUUCAUUGGGAUCAUUAAGGAGUUGUUUUUCAUCUAGUCUAAUUCACGCUGUGUACUUUACCCGCAAUUGAAUGUUGUACCUUUGUUUGAACAUAUGUAAAGCUAUGUAUAAACUCCUCUCCUUGAUUAUUGUGAAGCCCUUUUAAUGGAAGACGUUUGGGAGACUUUAUGUAAAAAAAAAAUUAUUAGAGAGAAGAGCUUUGAUUCUUUGUUUUGAUUGGCAUGAAAAGCUAUGUAUUAUUAUUUUAGUUGAAAAUCGAGGGCGUGACAAUAAUUUAGUAAUAGCUUAAUAUUUCGUAAGUUUGAAGACUUAUUUGAAUGCAAGCCUACUUUUGAUUAA
Rhododendron vialii is the source of this 654-nucleotide long non-coding RNA. RefSeq lists it as uncharacterized. The transcript is spliced from 2 exons. Lineage: Eukaryota; Viridiplantae; Streptophyta; Magnoliopsida; Ericales; Ericaceae. The record is from RefSeq and is a predicted model, not a curated record.